This is a long non-coding RNA of Ornithodoros turicata, 765 nucleotides long. RefSeq lists it as uncharacterized. Lineage: Eukaryota; Metazoa; Arthropoda; Arachnida; Ixodida; Argasidae. The transcript is spliced from 4 exons. The record is from RefSeq and is a predicted model, not a curated record.
CCCCUUGCACAUCUCUUCCACGAUGUUGCGAGCAUAGGCUGGGUGACAGGAAGAAACGGCAUCGAACGAGACAACGUCGUAUGAUCCAGUGUGCCAAGUACGCGGACGCUACUUCAACAGUGGCUUAUCCUUGUACGCAUUUGAUGCAAUGCCAAAGAGGGAUUUGCUCAUCAAUUCUUCUUCGGUGAAGAGUACACGUAGAAGGGCCCUUGCAAACUUCGUUGGCUGCCUGCACAGCGACUCUUGAGUUCCACGCUGGGAAUGAUGUGUGGCUUCCCAAGACUGUUUGGGAGAAGGUGUCUUCUCAUCAAGACAACGUCUUCUCAUCAAGCAAGCGGCGCUGGCCAUCUGACCAGCAUCGGUUCUGGCAAACAGGUCUCUCUGCGAUACCCUCUCGAACAAAGCCAUUGUGGAUGGGCAAGUAAAUGCAAAACCAGCACUCACUCCACAGAAAAUGGAGGCACUAUAUUGUGAGUGUCCUUUUCUGUGCUAUUUUUGAAUCGCUGCAUGAUUAUUUCUCAUAAUUUGCAUGCCAUCUCAGAAACUGCUAUCAGUUUCUGACUGAAUCUGGUUACGGAAGUCAAAAGUUGAGAUGGUGUCGUGGAAGUUACACAAUUGCUCUCUUCAACAAAAUGUGAGCCUCUUAAAGGGGCCGUAAACAGGCCACCAAACAUUUCUGAAAUAAUGAUACCCCAUGAAAGAACGCAGCUCAUAAUACCCAAAUAUACAUUUCGUUCGGCUCGUGCCAGCUCAUUGACCCGUACA